CUGGGGAGCAGGUGACGGCUGGGGGUUCGAUUCCAACCCC
This 40-nucleotide transfer RNA is filed under the name Oxyrrhis marina. Its description in RNAcentral is "partial Selenocysteine transfer RNA". Lineage: Eukaryota; Dinophyceae; Oxyrrhinales; Oxyrrhinaceae. The record is from RNAcentral.